This 493-nucleotide ribosomal RNA is filed under the name uncultured bacterium. RNAcentral's name for it is "bacterial SSU rRNA". It matches the Rfam family "Bacterial small subunit ribosomal RNA", at positions 29 to 516 of the family's 1533-position model. The record is from RNAcentral.
AACGAACGCUGGCGGCGCGCCUAAUACAUGCAAGUCGAGCGAGAAGGUGUAGCAAUACACUUGUAAAGCGGCGAACGGGUGAGGAAUACAUGGGUAAUCUACCAUCGAGUGGGGAAUAACCAACCGAAAGGUUGGCUAAUACCGCGUACGCCUCCGAGUCUUCGGGUUCGGAGGGAAAGCUGCACUGUGAGUGUAGCGCUCUUUGAUGAGCUCAUGUCCUAUCAGCUUGUUGGUAGGGUAACGGCCUACCAAGGCUUUGACGGGUAGCUGGUCUGAGAGGACGAUCAGCCACACUGGCACUGCGACACGGGCCAGACUCCUACGGGAGGCAGCAGUAAGGAAUAUUGCGCAAUGGGCGAAAGCCUGACGCAGCGACGCCGCGUGGGGAUGAAGGUCUUCGGAUUGUAAACCCCUUUCGGGAGGGAAGAUGGAACGAGCAAUCGUUCGGACGGUACCUCCAGAAGCAGCCACGGCCAACUUCGUGCCAGCAGCC